UGGUGGAGUGAUUUGUCUGCUUAAUUGCGAUAACGAACGAGACCUUAACCUGCUAAAUAGCCCGACCCGCAUCUGCGGGCCGCUGGCUUCUUAGAGGGACUAUCGGCUCAAGCCGAUGGAAGUUUGAGGCAAUAACA
RNAcentral lists this ribosomal RNA (137 nucleotides) under uncultured eukaryote. RNAcentral describes it as "partial 18S ribosomal RNA". It matches the Rfam family "Eukaryotic small subunit ribosomal RNA", at positions 1299 to 1458 of the family's 1831-position model. The record is from RNAcentral.